GGAGUCUUUCUAGUUGAACCCUAAAGUUACACAGUGGGUCCAUUCCUUUUUCUCACCAUUUUAUUCUCUUUUUGUGAUUCACCCAAAACUAUUAUUUUUGUAAACAAAUCUCGUCAAAAGUUAUAACUAUUAUUUUAUUUACCUAAUAGGAAACCCUAGUUAAGACACCCAAGUAAUUCUACACAAUCCCUAAAAUUUUCAGAAUAAACAGAAUCAGGAUCAGGGCCCCUAAAACUCGAGGGGGGUAAACCCUAGUUGGACGAUUAUCUAAAAUAAUCGUUGUAGAAAGCUGAUUGGUUAAUUUUAUUGAUUCAGCAUAGCUAGUCCCAACCAUGGCCGACCUAUGAUAAAUAGGUGUCCCUUACGGACCGUAAGGGAUAUGGCUUACGGUCCGUAAGCCUGUCCCAAAAAAUUAGUAUAAAUAGCAGACAUUGGCAGUCGGUUUAUGCUGCUCAAACGACGUUCAAAGUCGUAAUACACACGGAGUUAUACCCUUGAAACACACACGAAUCACUAAUUAGUAUAGCGGGGUGCUGCUACGAUACAGGGUAUUAACUCGAUCGCUAUUACGAUUCAUUUUACGACCGAUCAAUAUAUCCAAUGGAUGUUUAAGUGCCACCCACAUUAGGGUUAUACUUUGUCGUUCGUCGUUAAAUCGAUGGAUGUUUAAGUAUCGCACUUUGUCGUUCGUUGUGAGAAUUUGAUCUCGUGAGUUAUCGUAAUUGUUGUAUUAAGUUACCUACCUAGUUCGUAUGCACUAGGUUACAAGGCUAAAUCAAUAGGCUAAGCUCUGCCUGUGUAAAUCUGCAAUAUAUCAAGGCUUAUGUGUAGACUAAACUUUGGCCGUAUGAAUCUGCAUGAUUAUAAUGUAAUUACAGUAGAUUGGAGUAAGGAUUGGAUCCGGCACUAAAAGACUUCAAGAAGUGGCUUAUUUUAUUAAUUAAAUCAAAUUAAGAAAUAUUGUUUUUAUUAAAAGCUACCUUUGUAAAACAUGGAAUUUAUUCCAUCUAUUUAAAUAAAAUCCGGUGU
Molecule: long non-coding RNA, 1029 nt
Filed under: Helianthus annuus (common sunflower)
Lineage: Eukaryota; Viridiplantae; Streptophyta; Magnoliopsida; Asterales; Asteraceae
Description: hypothetical non coding rna
Source: RNAcentral